UGUUCCGAUGACCACUACAAGUAAUUCUUUUAAUCAACAGAGGAGAAUCAGGAAAAACAAACCUGUUGACUAGAAUUUGGAAGA
Molecule: small RNA, 84 nt
Filed under: Salix viminalis (osier)
Lineage: Eukaryota; Viridiplantae; Streptophyta; Magnoliopsida; Malpighiales; Salicaceae
Source: RNAcentral